Small nucleolar RNA from Loxodonta africana (African savanna elephant), 133 nucleotides. Ensembl annotates it as small nucleolar RNA SNORA17. Its record names the gene SNORA17A. The record is from Ensembl. Lineage: Eukaryota; Metazoa; Chordata; Mammalia; Proboscidea; Elephantidae.
ACUGCCCCUAGAGGCGUUGCAGGGGUGGCUGCCGUGCUGCUUCUGUGUCAUUAGGUGGCAGAGAGAAGAGAGGCUAUGUCUACGCUCAGUGUUCCAGCCGUGAACAACCUGAAUGAUUAAUAGUCAGACACUA